RNAcentral lists this ribosomal RNA (1547 nucleotides) under uncultured Mollicutes bacterium. Its description in RNAcentral is "partial 16S ribosomal RNA". It matches the Rfam family "Bacterial small subunit ribosomal RNA". Lineage: Bacteria; Bacillati; Mycoplasmatota; Mollicutes. The record is from RNAcentral.
UGAGUUUGAUCCUGGCUCAGGAUGAACGCUGGCUGUGUGCCUUAUACAUGCAUGUCAAGCGAGACACUUUUGUGUCUAGCGGCGAAUGGGUGAGUAACACGUACUUAACCUACCCUUUAGAUUGGGACAACAGUUGGAAACGACUGCUAAUACCGAAUACGCUAUUUGUUGGCAUCAACGAAUAAUGAAAGAUGCGUUUGCAUCGCUAAAGAAUGGGAGUGCGGUACAUUAGGUAGUUGGUAGAGUAAAGGCCUACCAAGCCGAUGAUGUAUAGCGGGGUUGAGAAGCUGAUCCGCCACACUGGGACUGAGAUACGGCCCAGACUUCUACGGAAGGCAGCAGUAGGGAAUUUUCCACAAUGAGCGAAAGCUUGAUGGAGCAACACAGCGUGCAGGAUGAAGCCCUUUGGGGUGUAAACUGCUGUUAUAAGGGAAGAAAUGCCUAAAUAGGAAAUGAUUUAGGUUUGACGGUACCUUAUUAGAAAGCACCGGCAAACUAUGUGCCAGCAGCCGCGGUAAUACAUAGGGUGCAAGCGUUAUCCGGAAUUAUUGGGCGUAAAGCGUUCGUAGGUGGUUUAUUAAGUCUGAAGUUAAAUCCCUGGGCUCAACCCAGGUUCGCUUUGGAUACUGAUAGACUAGAGUUAUAGAGAGGUUAGUGGAACUCCAUGUGAAGCGGUGGAAUGCGUANAUAUAUGGAAGAACACCAMYCSRYGAMGRMAGCWMWMUSGSKMUAUAYUSWCMCYKWRGGRCCAAARSSUGGGGAGCAAACAGGAUUAAAUACCCUGGUAGUCCACGCCGUAAACGAUGUUCAUUAGUCGGUGGAAAAAUUCNCUNACGCAGCUAACGCNUUAAACGANCCGCCUNAGUAGUAUGCUCGCAAGAGUGAAACUUAAAGGAAUUGACGGGGACCCGCNCAAGCGGAGGAGCAUGUGGUUUAAUUUGAAGAUACGCGGAGAACCUUACCCUCUCUUGACAUCCCUUGCGAAGACUUAGAGAUAAGUUGGAGGUUAACAAGGUGACAGAUGGUGCAUGGUUGUCGUCAGCUCGUGUCGUGAGAUGUUCGGUUAAGUCCGGCAACGAGCGCAACCCCUGUCCUUAGUUACUAACAUUAAGUUGAGCACUCUGAGGAGACUGCCUAGGCAACUAGGAGGAAGGUGGGGACGACGUCAAAUCAUCAUGCCUCUUACGAGAGGGGCUACACACGUGCUACAAAAAANANUACAAAGNGAUGCAACCCGGCGACGGUGAGCUAACCUCAAAAAACCAUUCUCAGUUCGGAUCGAAGUCUGCAACUCGACUUCGUGAAGUCGGAUUCGCUAGUAAUCGUAGGUCAGCAAUACUACGGUGAAUACGUUCUCGGGUCUUGUACACACCGCCCGUCACACCAUGGGAGUUGGUAAUGCCCGAAGCUGGAUAGUUAACUUCGGAUGCUACUGUCUAAGGCAGGACCGAUGACUGGGGGGGAGUCGUAACNAAAUAANCAAAUCACUAGNGCGGCCGNGGGNGGUCAUNNNNGGUAANAGCUCCCAACGCUGGAUCUGUCUNUUU